This 22-nucleotide microRNA is filed under the name Bos taurus (domestic cattle). RNAcentral describes it as "bta-miR-2285ad". The record is from miRBase by way of RNAcentral. Lineage: Eukaryota; Metazoa; Chordata; Mammalia; Artiodactyla; Bovidae.
AAAACCCAAAUGAACUUUUUGG